GUUAUUUUACUAAUUAAAAAAAUAUAUUUUUAUUUGUUAAAUAUCAAUUAGUUGGUAAAAUUACAAUAAAAAUAUCUAUUAAUUAAAUAUAAUUUAAAUACAAUAAGAACAAAAAAUUAACUUACACCAUUUUCAAUUUUUCUAUUAACAAAAUAUAACUUAUACACACAAACUUAUUUUUAUUUUUAUUAUUUGAAUACCACAAUUUUUUAUUUAGUUCAUAAAAAUGGAAUAAAUAAAGAUUGAAAAAAACUUAUAAAAAAAUCUUUAUUUUAUAUUUCGCCGUCAUUCAAUUUAUUAAGACGAGAGUGCAUACACUAUUAACUCCCAAAAAGCAAUGACAAUCUUGAAAGAUACUUCUGAACAACUUAGGAUUCAAAGAAACAAAUCAUAAGUGAGAGCUGAUAUCCCCCAAAUAGUUCCUGCUUCAUUACAACCACAAAUGUUAUUUUUUUUUCUCUAAAGGUAAUCCUACACAAACAAAUGAUGAGUAGAUUCAAUCAGACCAGACAUGGAGAAAGACAUGAGUAGAUUCCAUUACGCUCUUCUUCAUAGAACAGAGCAGUUAUGUCUUUCAAAGCCUCAGCAACCUCAGUUGUUUUUCUUUGCU
Molecule: long non-coding RNA, 610 nt
Filed under: Brassica napus (rape)
Lineage: Eukaryota; Viridiplantae; Streptophyta; Magnoliopsida; Brassicales; Brassicaceae
Description: long non-coding RNA (BNAP_LNC016563)
Source: RNAcentral